Molecule: non-coding RNA, 116 nt
Organism: Helianthus annuus (common sunflower)
Lineage: Eukaryota; Viridiplantae; Streptophyta; Magnoliopsida; Asterales; Asteraceae
Source: Rfam
GGCACACAGAUAGCACAGAGCGAACUAUUCUUUCGCCUUUUACUAAAGAAUAAUGUGUGCUCGCUGCUUUUAUGUGGCAUACCCUAUUUUUGGAGAGUCUCUUCUAAUGAAGAACU